GGAAGGGUGGCAGAGUGGUCGAUUGCACCGGUCUUGAAAACCGGCAACACCGAAAGGUGUUCCAGGGUUCGAAUCCCUGCCCUUCCG
RNAcentral lists this transfer RNA (87 nucleotides) under Gemmata massiliana. It matches the Rfam family "tRNA". Rfam says of the family: Transfer RNA (tRNA) molecules are approximately 80 nucleotides in length. Their secondary structure includes four short double-helical elements and three loops (D, anti-codon, and T loops). RNAcentral also lists the same sequence under 2 other names. Lineage: Bacteria; Pseudomonadati; Planctomycetota; Planctomycetia; Gemmatales; Gemmataceae. The record is from RNAcentral.